AUCUCUAUUCUCUUCCUAACUCUCUCUCUCUUUCUUUUUCUUUUCUAAAUUUUCGCCACACAAGGUGCAGCCUCGAGUUUCUUCACGAUCGGGAAUUCAAACAACAUCCGAUUGUCACGAAAUUUUAACCAAAGGUAGAAGACUCAUAAAGGAUCAUUCUUACCGAAGGAGAUCAAAUUUUAACGGUUAGAUUUUCCAGAAAUAAUUUCGGAAGUGGCUGUCGGUUUCUACAGUAGCAGCGUCGAUUUUCUAUACGAUCGGGGGUUCAAACGUAGUCCGAUCGUUCUGAAAUUUUAAAGGAAGGAUUUAGCUCGUGGUUUGAUAAUCAUUACCUCGAGAGGAUGAUAAGAGAUUUCUAUGACGAGACUUGGAAUCCUCCUUCCUAAAGAGAGUUUGAACACUUGGUAUCGGGAGGUUGGGAACUUCUUCGUCUACUUGCUCGAAAAUAAAAGUUUGGAAGUGAAAGAGAAUUUUGGGUAGGCGUCGAAGUAGAGUCAAGGAGCUUGUUUGAUGGCGGAGCUCCCGGGAUGGUGCAGGUGGUAAAGAAGGUCAAGUCUAGGAGGUUUUUCUAAAAUGGAAGCAGGAGUUACUAAUCGCUCGCGAUGUCGGACUUUCUUUUAUCAUUGUAAACAUUCAAAUACCACUUGUUAUUUUAUGCAUCUAGAUUAGUGCAUCAAAUAUGUAAUUAGAACGGGGUAUUACAGUAAGCCAAGCGGGAUGACACCUCGUCAGCGAGCCAAGCGGGAUGACACCUCGUCAGUAUGACGCGGUAAGCCAACGUGGCUGACACGUGACAGUCCACGUCAUGAGCGAAUCUAGAAGUUUCUAGAUUCAGACUCUCAGCUCUGUAACGGAUUGUAACGCCUCGUAACCGACGACCGUUACGGUCUAGCAUUGAUGACAGCCAUCAAGACUGUGUUGGCCCCUGCAGUGGACUGAGCCUAUAAAUAGGCUAGUCAUUCUAACAUUCUAGACACCAGAAACUAGAAUAGCACUCUGCAUCAUACACUCCCUCUUCCUCUCCUCUGCAUUGUUUUUUCUGUCGAAAGCUCUGCCCUCUCCUCCAUUCAGUUCGCCGGAGCUCUGUUGAUAGCGGUGCUGCUUCACCAGAGACGCAGCCGUUUUAUCUUUGGGGACGAAACGCCAAUUCGAAGAGCACUAUCGGGGCGUAUCUCGUCUUGCGGAAAGAGGCCUCAUCGACUCGGCUAUUUCCUGUUCUACGGUUUAUAGUUUUGAUUUUUGUUUAUAAUUUUCGUUUCAGUUCGUUUCUAUAUUCCUUCUUGGGUUGUAUUACGCCCGGUUAUCUCUUGUAAUUCCACAAAACCAACAGUCACAUACUAAUAAAAGAUGGUAUAUUGAUGAUA
Salvia hispanica is the source of this 1364-nucleotide long non-coding RNA. RefSeq lists it as uncharacterized. The record is from RefSeq and is a predicted model, not a curated record. NCBI's taxonomy places the organism in Eukaryota, Viridiplantae, Streptophyta, Magnoliopsida, Lamiales, Lamiaceae.